CCACCCAGUCCCUCCCCAGCAUAAUCCAAUUCCCCUUUAGUAGGACCCAGCUCCACUCGUGAUGGACUCAAGCUACAUCGAGAGGUAUAAAAAACUUAAUCCAUCUACUUUUGUAGGGGCAUCCACUUUUGAAGAAGUUGAAUACUAGUUAACAGAGAUGGAGAAGGCCUUCAAAACUCUUGGCGUGGUUCUCGAACAGAAGGUCAUUCUUGCCAUUUACAUGCUCGUGG
Molecule: long non-coding RNA, 230 nt
Filed under: Carica papaya (papaya)
Lineage: Eukaryota; Viridiplantae; Streptophyta; Magnoliopsida; Brassicales; Caricaceae
Description: long non-coding RNA (CPAP_LNC007416)
Source: RNAcentral